This 69-nucleotide transfer RNA is filed under the name Allolucifera butyrica. RNAcentral describes it as "Lucifera butyrica tRNA". It matches the Rfam family "tRNA". Rfam says of the family: Transfer RNA (tRNA) molecules are approximately 80 nucleotides in length. Their secondary structure includes four short double-helical elements and three loops (D, anti-codon, and T loops). Lineage: Bacteria; Bacillati; Bacillota; Negativicutes; Veillonellales; Veillonellaceae. The record is from Rfam by way of RNAcentral.
CGGGAAUAGCUUAGUGGUAAAGCGUUGGUUUCUAACCAAAGACAUUGAGUUCGAUUCUCUUUUUCCCGC